Molecule: long non-coding RNA, 2975 nt
Filed under: Homo sapiens (human)
Lineage: Eukaryota; Metazoa; Chordata; Mammalia; Primates; Hominidae
Description: HSALNT0086610
Source: RNAcentral
GAAACUUUUUCAGCUUUGUGACUGAGAGACAGCCAGCCUUUCAGCUGGGUGAGCUUUCCAGUUGCAUGAGAAAGAGCUUCAUAAGAAACCACCUACACUCUUCCCAUCCAAAAAAAUAGAAAAAAAGAAAGAGAAGAAUAUAAAAAGAAUUGCUUCUCCUCCAAAAAUACAGCUCCUAGGUGCUGCUGAAAUGAGUGAGCAGGGUAAUUGAUGAGAGUUUGGGAGCUGGGAGAGCAGUGAGCUGAUGCUUGGAGCCUUGCCGCGAUCGGACACAUAAAAUUCUAUUGCAUAGCAAUAAGGGAAUUGUAGCCUCCUCAACUUGACCCCGCUGGUGCCCAGAAUUCUAGCGACCAAGAGUGAAAUAAGCAAGAUGACCCUGGAAAUUGUGGGUAGGAGCCAGAGAACAAUGGAGAAGCCACACUGACUUACUUAGAUGAGGACGUGAGACAUGCUGUCUUUUCCCCAAAUACUGCAGGAAGAACUUCUGCCCCAACUAACUGGUAAAUGCAGCUGGAUACCAUCUGGUUUAUGUGCUUUGCCAUCACAGAUGACCUACCUCAGAUAAGCUGUAGAAGAAAAAAAAACAUAAACUGUAAGAAACCAAGAACACUCAAUAUAGAAAAAAGAGUGCUAAAUUGAACUACGCUUGAUUCCUAGCUCAAGAAAGCCAGGAUGGAUCAAGAUUACUUGAGGCCAGGCACGGUGACUCAUGCCUGUAAUUCCAGCACUUUGGGAGGCCGAGGGAAGCAGAUCACUUGAGAUCAGGAGUUCAAGACCAGCAUGGCCAACAUGGUGAAAUCCUGUCUGUACUAAAAAUACAAAAAUUAGCCGGGCUUGGUGUCUCAUGCCUGUAAUCCCAGCUACUCAGGAGGCUGAGGCUGGAGAAGCUCUUGAAUCCAGGAGGCUGAGGUUGCAGUGAGCAGAGAUCGAGCCACUGCAUUCUAGCCUGGGCAACAGAGGGAGACUCCUUCUCAAACAAAAAAAUAAUAAAAUAACUACUUGAACCAGGAAAGGGAGGGAGAAAAUGGAAAAUUAAAGAGUUAGAGUCUAUAUUAAUCAGUUUUUGCUAUGCUUUGUUGUGAAACAACCAACCUCCAAACAUCAGUAGCCUAAAGCAAUAAAGGCUUUUUCCUUACUUAUAUUACUUCAGCUGCAGUGAGCUGCCAUUAUGUUGCAUAUGUCUUUUUCUUCCAUAACACGAGCUUAAGAAGCAGUUUGAUCUGGGAUAUAUCAUUCCUAAGGCAGAGGAAAAAGAAAAAGAGAUGGCAGAGAUACUCAGUGACUAUUAAAACUUCUGCUUGGGCCUGACACGUCACUUGCUGCUUAGAUUUCAUUAACAAAUCAAGUCACUUGGCCAAGCUUGACAUUAGUUGACAUUAGUCCUUUCUAGAGUCAGCAGAUCAUUGGAACAACAGUGCAGACCAUUACAGGGCUCAUUUUCAAAUGAAGAUCAGUCAGAAAUUGUAAUACAAAAAUCAGGGGGAAAGGGAAGUAGUUCCCCAAAAUUCAACAUGCAUAAUCAGAAUCUACCCAUUUGUAGAUUACCCAUUCAUGUAAGAAAAUCCACUAAAUAAUUCAUAAUAUAUGCCUUAGAUAUGUUAGAAGCCCAUGUAGUUCAUAAAAGAACAGUGACUUCUUUAGGAAGCAUCUUUCACUCCGUGCACUGGAUUUCCAAUAAAUUCUUUUGUUUUCCGGAAGAGUGUGAAGAAUUCUCAGAUGAAAGGAAGAGCCAUAGCCUAAUCCCUGCUUUGUAUCCAGAAGCCUCUGCCUAUAGCCUGGAUUUUCAGUAUCUCUUCUGUUCUAUAAUCCUCCUCUGUAUGGACUCCUACGAGGAUAUAAAUUAUCUAUCUUCAGCCAUAAGUUUUCUGUGAUGUAUUUUCAGAAACUUCACAAUGUCUAUCCUUGCUGACAACAUAAAUCCUUUCUUCAUACUGAAAAGACCGGAAAACAAUUCUGUUUCUUUAGACGGUUCUUUGCUAUAAAACUUCUUCAUUUAAACAGCACUUUCUUAGCCCUUGUAGAAUUUGUUUUGUUGAAGUGCUUAGUCUGUCUUUGAAAUAAGCAUAUUUCAUCUAAUUUUGAAUGAUUCCAGCUGCUGGAUUACCUAUCUUGAAAGUGAGUCAGGAGACUUGUUGGUUUGGGGGGAUUAGAGAAGGAAGUAGAUUUCAAUUUUCCAAAAUGCAAGUCUGACACCUUCUGGAAAGCAUGUGACUAUUACACCCACAAGUUAGUUCCCUUGGUCCACUAUUGAGAAGGCCAGGGGUACAUGAAGUUAGAUGGGCAAAAUCUUGCAUUUUUAUUUCUAUAAACUGCUAUUUAAUAUUUAGGAUUUUCUUCAAUUAUGAAUAUGGACAACUAACCAUAGUAGUAUUAUUAGUAAUGUUGUCAACAGUAGAAAUUAUAGAUUUAAAAAAUCACAUUAUAAUUAUUGCAGAUAUCAAAAAGUAUUGUUUACACUCACCAUUACUUUGAAAUUCUGAUAGACCUGUCAUUAGAUCUCGUUACUUAAUGAGUUAGUAUAAAACACGUGCAUUAGUAUUUCAUAUAUUUGCUAUUUUAACCUUAUGACUUUUGAAUAUUUCAGCAUAAUUGGUUUUCUUUGAAAAUCUAUAUAUAUUAUUAAUAUUUGGCACACAAAGAAUAUUUUGAGAAGUUGUCUAUAGUUUACAACGAAACAGCUAUGGGUUUAUGGUACAAAAAAGAUUAAGAAUGCUUGUUCUAGAUGCAUUCUAAAAGGGAUAGAGGAGGACAAAAGAAUAUAUAGAACUACAUCUCUCUUUCACUAAAAUAAUGAUUUUUAGUUCUUGUGUAUAGAGUUAAAUGGCAAGAGUAUUUUAAUAUAAAAUAAUGUUUUGAUAUUAUAUAAUGAUUAAUGUACAAAGCUUGUCUUUCCUUUUUCUUCUCGUGAAAAUGGACCCCAAAACUGUGUCAAGGGAACUACCCCUUUUUCCUUCACUUCCCUCCCUCUACCCCCC